RNAcentral lists this vault RNA (90 nucleotides) under Procavia capensis (Cape rock hyrax). RNAcentral describes it as "Vault RNA (ENSPCAG00000019436.1)". It matches the Rfam family "Vault RNA". From Rfam's summary of the family: This family of RNAs are found as part of the enigmatic vault ribonucleoprotein complex. The complex consists of a major vault protein (MVP), two minor vault proteins (VPARP and TEP1), and several small untranslated RNA molecules. Lineage: Eukaryota; Metazoa; Chordata; Mammalia; Hyracoidea; Procaviidae. The record is from RNAcentral.
GGGUCAGCUUUAGCUCUGGCGGUUACUUCGUAGCACUUGAGCAAUCCCUGUCCAGGAGUUCGAGACCCGCGGGCGCUCUCUGACCCUUUU